This 263-nucleotide ribosomal RNA is filed under the name uncultured bacterium. Its description in RNAcentral is "partial 16S ribosomal RNA". It matches the Rfam family "Bacterial small subunit ribosomal RNA", at positions 793 to 1055 of the family's 1533-position model. The record is from RNAcentral.
GUCCACGCCGUAACGAUGAGAACUAGGUGUUGCGGGUAUUGACCCCUGCAGUGCCGCAGCUAACGCAUUAAGUUCUCCGCCUGGGAAGUACGGUCGCAAGACUAAACUCAAAGGAAUUGACGGGGCCCGCACAAGCGGUGGAGCAUGUGGUUUAAUUCGACGCAACGCGCAGAACCUUACCUGGGCUUGACAUCUACGGAACCUUCGUGAAAGCGAGGGGUGCCUUUCGGGGAGCCGUAAGACAGGUGCUGCAUGGCUGUCGU